This is a non-coding RNA of Paramuricea clavata, 252 nucleotides long. NCBI's taxonomy places the organism in Eukaryota, Metazoa, Cnidaria, Anthozoa, Malacalcyonacea, Plexauridae. The record is from the annotation of a GenBank genome assembly.
CCAAAUGCCAUUUCAGACCCCCGGACUUUUACAAAGGAGUCAUCCACAUCCCCAAUCUCACUUUUAACUUCUCUGCAAAGUUGAGAGGUCUGAGAUUUUUUUAUUUAUUUUUAUUUUUAUUAUUUUCCCCUAUGGCUAUGUACAGAUUUUAAUAAUUACACAACAACUUUCUUCUAAUGAUAUUGGGCUAGGGACAUACUAGAAACCUUUACAGGCUUUUUGCUUUAGGCCCCUAGUUGUAGUUGUGGUUCA